AGAGUCAGCAAAGGGUGGUGGGAUUAUCAUUAGUUCUUAUAGGUUUUGGGAUAGGCAGUGGAGUUAGGAGCAAUGUUUUGCAGGUAGCGGGUGGACCUCACAAAGUACAUUUUCAAGGGUGGGGAGAAUUACAAAGAACCUUCUUAAGGGUGGGGGAGAUUAUAAAGUACAUUGAUCAGUUAGGGUGGGGAAGAAACGAAUCUCAAUGGUGAAAUAUCAUCAGCUAAGGCUAUUUUCACUUUUAUGGAUCUUCAGUUGGCCAUCUGGAUGUAUAAGUGUGGGUCACAGGGGAUAUGAUGGCUUAGCUUGGGCUCAGAGGCCUGACAAAAAGUAGGGAAACUGACAGUACCGAGAACCCCUGACAAAUCACUGGGUGUAACUCAAAGAGUCCAAAAUCUGAAGAACUUGGAGUCUAAUGUUCAAGGGCAGGAAGCAUCCAACAUGGGAGAAAGAUGAAGGCCAGAAGACUCAACAGGUCAAGUCCUUCCAAGUUCUGCCUGCUUUAUUCUAACUAUGCUGGCAACUGAUUAGAUGGUGCCUACCCAGAUUAAGGGAGGUUCUGCAUCUCCCAGUCCACUGUCUUAAAUGUUUAUCUCCUUUGACAACACCCUCACAGACACACCCAAGAAAAAUACUUUGCAUCCUUCAAUCCAAUCAAGUUGACACUCAAUAUUAACCAUCACAAUGCUCUUCCUCUGCUGGAAGCCAUCUCUUCCUCCUGCUCUCCCACAUCCUUGCUUUGUUGGCUUCCUCCAGAAAGGCUUCCCUAAUGCCCAAGACUGGGGUGGGAAUCCCUCCUGUGUGCUCCCAUGGCACCCUUAUUUUUUGCCCCCCAUCAUAGCACUUACUAAAACCGUAUUAUCCAUUUUCUUAUCUGUGUUUCUUUUACUAGAUUCCAAGCUCCUCAAGGGCAGGGACUGUUUUGAUUAGCAUAUUUCUCUAAGGUUUCGUGUAAUUCUUGGCAUAAAAUCAGCACUCAGUAAAUAAUUUAUUUUGCAUGAAUGAAUAAGCAUAGCUGAAUCUGGCUAUCUCUAAUUCUUUGUUGUGAUCACUGGAAAAAAUGGAUGCAAAAUGCCCAGCAAGGAUCCUGGAAAAAUAGGCAUUUCAUAAAUGGUAGCUGUCCUGGUGGUGUCACUCCUCAUCAUUCCCAUGGGACUCCUCAGAGUUGCUCAUGGUUGUACUCUUUGGAUGUAGUCAUGCCUUGCUUGUGAUAGGUAAUGUAUACGACUGAAUUGAAUGUGUGUUUAAUAUAUUAAGUAAGCAGGGUACAUGAUUUUCCUUCUGUGUCCAUGUUUAGAAUAAAGGUGAUGAUUAUCUAGAGAACAUGUUUAUUUUCCAUGGAGCAUUACAUUUGUCUUUUUUUUUUUUUUUUCCGGGCACAAAUGCAUUUUAUAAUGAUAAUGUUUUUAAGAGAAUCCAAGUCUCCUGUUUUCUUGUAGGUGAUAACUUGCUAUUGGACUUUACUUUUUAAAAUAUUACCCAAUAUCUGUAACCUGGAAUUUGAAAGAAUUCAUUAAAAUGUUCCCAGUUUGAAAGAGAAACUUUCUGACACAUUUGUUUGCCUUGCCUCGGACGUGCCUUGUUUUCUUUGUAUUUUGUGUCCUGUCUGCAGCAGCAUGUCCCUCUCGUCAGCACUGUUGAAGGAAGACAGCAUGUCAGUGCCAUCUCCUGAAAUCAAAGAAUAUACCACAGCAUUUGGUCUAGGAGAGCUCAAAGAAUGUAUCAAAAUGCCAUAUUUACCAGGACUACAAAGUUACCAAAAAAGUGUAAGUUCAACUCCGCUAGAGGCUCCAAAAAGACUGCCACGUGCUGAUGCCGAGGUGUCUGCAAUCAGGCUAAAGAAGACUAAGGAGACAUGCAGUGUGGCACCACUUUGGGAGAAAUCAAAAGGUAAGCUGACUCGUCCUUUUUUCUACCACCUGUCUUGGGUGUCAUAUACCUUAUCUUUUAAAAAAAAAAUUCCUCUCUUUUCAUUGAUUUAAUUUUCUUUGUUUUGUUACUACUUCUUUUAAGCUUUGUUUAUUUUAUAAACUAAGUGGAUGUUGGGUUCAUUAUAAACAUACUUUUAUAAUUUCAGGACCCUAGGGUAGGCCCUCAUCAUAUCUCACUUGGGCCAUUUAGUGCCUGCAAACUCGUCUUCUUGUUUUGAAUGUCUGAUCUUUGAAAUCCUUCAAUGCCACAAAAAAGUCUAAAACUUUGACUUCUAAUCACAUUACUCUCUCCUUCAAAAACAGUGAGUCCCUCAUUACCCACAGACUGAGUAUGAACUCUUUAGUUUGAUAUUGAACCCUUUGCCAUCUUCCCUCAGCUUUCUUUUCUAGCUUUAUCUUCUAAUUGCUAUUUUUGUGAAUCCUGUGUACUUACGACUUCUCAUACAGAAACUUAUCUAUUUACCAACAGUUUUGGUCCCAAAAAACUACUCUUAAGUCAACUUACUCCUAAGUUCAUGGUGACUAAAAGGGUUUAUGGUACUAAGGUAUAUUUUAUUUGCCAUUUGUCCUUCAGUCUAUCAAAUGAUUCAUCCUUUCCCUAUGUACAACGAAUGUUUCCUUAAAAGCUUAAGCUUUUUAUUGAAUCAGUACAAAUAGCCUAACAUCUGAGAAAAGGCCAGGACCAGACAGAUUCACAGCUGAAUUCUACCAGAUGUACAAAGAAGAGUGGGUACCAUUCACACAGAAACUAUCCAAAAAUUUGAGGAGGAGGGAUUCCUCUGUAACUCAUUCUAUGAGACCAGCAUCAUCCUGAUACCAAAA
This is a non-coding RNA of Chlorocebus sabaeus (green monkey), 2753 nucleotides long. The record is from RefSeq and is a predicted model, not a curated record. NCBI's taxonomy places the organism in Eukaryota, Metazoa, Chordata, Mammalia, Primates, Cercopithecidae.